CUGGCUUACCUGGGGGCUAUUGUGAGGUCUGAGUUUAAGACAUUGAAUGAUCCCCUGGGGUGAAAUGGACACACAUUACCAGGCUCCUGGUGUGUUGGAGUCGAAGAGAAUGGAUAGAGAAUGUGGCUGGGAGGCAAUCUGACCAUGUCACUGCCACUGAAAAACCCACAAGACUGCUCAGUUUUCACAAGAGGAAGACUCAGUCAACUAAAAUCUCUCUCACUGGCUUUCACUAGUCUCUUCAGCCUUAGCUCCUCAUGCUUGAUCAACGCCACACUAUCCAUCAUUCUCAAAACAAGCGUCUGAGCUAUUGUUCACAGUCCCCUCAUGUGUUGAAUAACUCUCUUAUCCUUGGCAACUUGCUUGUCUCUCAGGACCCAGCUUAAUUGUUGCUUCCUCUGAAUGUCUCCUUGCAGAAUAAAUCACCCUUUGUCCAUGUUCUCAUAGCACUCUCUGCCUCAUGCUAUGGUGCUUUCUCACAUAAUGACUUGCUUGGAAACUUUGCCAAGUGUCACCAUAAU
Molecule: long non-coding RNA, 521 nt
Filed under: Homo sapiens (human)
Lineage: Eukaryota; Metazoa; Chordata; Mammalia; Primates; Hominidae
Description: HSALNT0360411
Source: RNAcentral